UUAACAUUCAAUUCGUAGAUUUCAGUAAGGAAGAAAGAUCGAGAGGAGAAUGGCAAGUAUAUGCCCACCAGGUAAGUGGGCAUGGCCAGAGAUUGUUGGGAAAGAUGGAAACGUUGCAGCCGCUAUCAUAGAGAAGGAGAACAAAAAUGUGAAUGCAAUUGUGACCAGGGCUCCGAUUAUAGAUCUAUCGUUUAACUGCGGCAGAGUCAGGGUUAUUGUGGCUAAAAAUGGAAAAGUCAUUAUAACUCCUACUAUUGGUUAACCCAUAAAUAUCAUAUAUUAUCUUAAAUAAACAUUCUCAGUACUUUGAGAUUUGGAGAAUAAAUAAUUGAGUUAUAUGUUUUA
Long non-coding RNA from Manihot esculenta (cassava), 345 nucleotides. RefSeq lists it as uncharacterized. NCBI's taxonomy places the organism in Eukaryota, Viridiplantae, Streptophyta, Magnoliopsida, Malpighiales, Euphorbiaceae. The transcript is spliced from 2 exons. The record is from RefSeq and is a predicted model, not a curated record.